This 1115-nucleotide long non-coding RNA is filed under the name Callithrix jacchus (white-tufted-ear marmoset). RNAcentral's name for it is "lncRNA (ENSCJAG00000057644.2)". Lineage: Eukaryota; Metazoa; Chordata; Mammalia; Primates; Cebidae. The record is from RNAcentral.
GCAUGUUUUUAUUCUACAUUGGAAUGUUCUCCCUGAACUAAUACAAAUUUACUGAUAGAAUAAGCUAGCAUUAUUUUGACUUCAUGUUUAAAAUUAUUAAAACUGUAAACUUGUGCUUAACCAGAUUUAAUUAUUAUUCUAACUUUAUUUCAGCAGUAAUUAUAUUUUGUAGUAUGUCAGUUUCAAAAUUGUUUUCCAGAUUUUUAGUUAACUUAAAAUCUUGAAUUUAUUCAAGUUGACUUAAUUAAUGUAUAUUCAUUAGAUGCCUAGAUCCUAAGUAAGAUAGAAUACUCAACAAUUAAUUACAAAACAAAAUUUAUGUGUAAAUGCUUUUUUGCCUUUUAUUUUAUGUGCUAUAGGGAGACUACAUAUCUGUGGGUCUGCCAACAAAUGUGUUCAUUUUUGCCAUGUGGAGAAGUUGUACUAUAAAGGAUGUGAGUUGCUAUAGAGAGUUGUGAGGUAUUUAUUCAGGAGCUCUGAUACUCUGCUGCAAAUGCUGGUGUGUAACAGACAGUUUAUAUUACACACCUCACAAUUUUCUCUGUGAAGUACCAUGACUGUGGUUAAAAGUUAUAAUCACCAUAGGUGACUAAGACUCUAGUAGCAGCAAUGGUGGCAAAGAGUAAUAACUUUGUAUGCAAGGUAAUCAGGAUGUAUUAAGGAAAAAAGAGUAGUUUCUAAAAUAACAUAACUGAUUGUUUAGAAUGAGGAAGAUGAAAGUGCAGAAAAUCUGAAUAUAUAAGUUGAAGAAAGUUUACAGAAAGGUAAUUUUGUUUGGGUCAAAGCUGGCUAUGAUUUGAUUUUUCAAAGUAAGAUGGUUUAAAAAACUAUAGGUGAAAUUAUUGAUGCGGAGCUGUGAUGUCUGCAUUAUCAAGCAAUAAUUUUGAAAACUAAAGCUGUAAUUUGGUUUUCUCUUUGUUUAAAUGACAGGAUUUCCUUGGAUUCUUUGGAUUGUUGGUCUGCUCUUAGUAAAAAGUUAUAGAUGGUUAUUCUUUACCUUCUGCAUAGUCUUCCUGGAAACAGCAAGAAGUCCGCUCACCAAGAAGAGGACCCUCACCAGACACUGGAUUUACUGGCAUCUUGAUCUUGGAUUUUCUAGCCUCUAUAACUGUGAG